RNAcentral lists this ribosomal RNA (689 nucleotides) under uncultured bacterium. RNAcentral describes it as "bacterial SSU rRNA". It matches the Rfam family "Bacterial small subunit ribosomal RNA", at positions 67 to 750 of the family's 1533-position model. The record is from RNAcentral.
CGGAAGAAGGGGGCUUGCUCCCGGAUUCAGCGGCGGACGGGUGAGUAACGCGUAGGAAUCUACCUAGUAGUGGGGGAUAACGUUUCGAAAGGAACGCUAAUACCGCAUACGUUCCGAGGAAGAAAGCAGGGGAUCGCAAGACCUUGCGCUAUUAGAUGAGCCUGCGUCCGAUUAGCUAGUUGGUGAGGUAACGGCCCACCAAGGCGACGAUGGGUAGCCGGCCUGAGAGGGCGAACGGCCACACUGGGACUGAGACACGGCCCAGACUCCUACGGGAGGCAGCAGUCGGGAAUUUUGGGCAAUGGCCGCAAGGGCUGACCCAGCAACGCCGCGUGAGUGAAGAAGGCCUUCGGGUUGUAAAGCUCUGUUGCCCGUGAAGAACGGUGCGCUCAGGAAAUGGGGCGCACUUGACGGUAGCGGGAGAGGAAGCCCCGGCUAACUACGUGCCAGCAGCCGCGGUAAUACGUAGGGGGCGAGCGUUGUCCGGAUUUAUUGGGCGUAAAGGGCGUGUAGGCGGUCUGUUAAGUCAGGAGUGAAACUCCGCAGCUCAACUGCGGACCUGCUUUUGAAACUGGCGGACUUGAGUGCUCUAGAGGGCAGUGGAAUUCCCGGUGUAGCAGUGAAAUGCGUAGAGAUCGGGAGGAACACCAGUGGCGAAGGCGACUGCCUGGGGAGCAACUGACGCUGAG